GACGAACGCUGGCGGCGUGCCUAAUACAUGCAAGUCGAACGCUGAAGAGAGGAGCUUGCUCUUCUUGGAUGAGUUGCGAACGGGUGAGUAACGCGUAGGUAACCUGCCUUGUAGCGGGGGAUAACUAUUGGAAACGAUAGCUAAUACCGCAUAACAAUGGAUGACACAUGUCAUUUAUUUGAAAGGGGCAAUUGCUCCACUACAAGAUGGACCUGCGUUGUAUUAGCUAGUAGGUGAGGUAAUGGCUCACCUAGGCGACGAUACAUAGCCGACCUGAGAGGGUGAUCGGCCACACUGGGACUGAGACACGGCCCAGACUCCUACGGGAGGCAGCAGUAGGGAAUCUUCGGCAAUGGGGGCAACCCUGACCGAGCAACGCCGCGUGAGUGAAGAAGGUUUUCGGAUCGUAAAGUUCUGUUGUAAGUCAAGAACGGGUGUGAGAGUGGAAAGUUCACACUGUGACGGUAGCUUACCAGAAGGGGACGGCUAACUACGUG
RNAcentral lists this ribosomal RNA (497 nucleotides) under uncultured bacterium. RNAcentral's name for it is "partial 16S ribosomal RNA". It matches the Rfam family "Bacterial small subunit ribosomal RNA", at positions 28 to 507 of the family's 1533-position model. The record is from RNAcentral.